RNAcentral lists this ribosomal RNA (317 nucleotides) under uncultured bacterium. RNAcentral describes it as "bacterial SSU rRNA". It matches the Rfam family "Bacterial small subunit ribosomal RNA", at positions 28 to 334 of the family's 1533-position model. The record is from RNAcentral.
GAUGAACGCUAGCUACAGGCUUAACACAUGCAAGUCGAGGGGAAACGGCAUUGAGUGCUUGCACUCUUUGGACGUCGACCGGCGCACGGGUGAGUAACGCGUAUCCAACCUUCCCAUUACUGUGGGAUAACCUGCCGAAAGGCAGACUAAUACCGCAUGGUCUUCGAUGACGGCAUCAGAUUUGAGUAAAGAUUUAUCGGUAAUGGAUGGGGAUGCGUCUGAUUAGCUUGGUUGGCGGGGUAACGGCCCACCAAGGCAACGAUCAGUAGGGGUUCUGAGAGGAAGGUCCCCCACAUUGGAACUGAGACACGGUCCAA